AAUACACAAGGAAAGCUCCAUGGAAGAUAAAGGCAGAGAUUUACAAGCCAAGGAAUGUCAAAGACGGCCAGCACACCACCAGAAGCUAGCAGAGAGGUAUGGAACAGAUUCUUCUUCACAACCUCAGAGGGAAAACCCUGCUGAUACCUGGAUUUCAAACUCCUGGCCUCCAGAACGAAGUCCCUGGAGAGAGGACGUGAUGUCUGAAGCUAUGGCAGCCAUCUUGUAACUAUGAGGCCACAAACAAGAAAAGCAAAAACCAGAGUGAAGCAUGGCAGAGCAGAAAGAUGGAAAGAACCUGGAUACAUAAGAGUGUCACUGUGCAGCUGUACCCACCCUAGACUGCAUAUACCUGGACUUUAAGUAAAUGACAAAUAUCCUUUAUUCUAUCUCAAGCCAUUGCUUCUUCAUCUUUUUUGUGUCAUGACAAUCACAGUGGGCGGUAAUAUUUGUACUGCCCUCUGGGGAACACAGAGGAGACUGCUGGCACCUGAGGUGAACUAUGCUGGGGGCUUCAGCUGCCCCAGGACUCCUCCCUACCUUGAAGCCUGAGGGGAUACAUAUCUCUCUGCACAUCUCUUUGUGGCUCAUCAAUGGGCCUCACCAUACACGUUGAAAAGUUCUAGUUUAAGCCAUACUUACCUGUUACUUGGCUGAAUGCACUUCUAAGUAAAACUUGGACUCAAUGCUGCUUGUCAAUGGAAAGUGAUGAGAUUUAUAAGAUAUCAUACAUUCUCUAGCAACAUAUGAAUAUGCAAAAAAUACUGAUCUUAGCCCAAAUCACAUCAUAUGAUUCUACUGACAGAACUAUUUGCUAUUUAACUCGUGUUCUUUCUUGUCAGUAAUGGGGCCACUUCCUGAUUAACUACAGGCACAUUUCAUGAGAUCCAAACAUAGAAAUUUUUCUUUCUUUUUUUUUCUGAGACAGAGUCUCCUCAGUCGCCCAGGCUGGAGUGCAGUGGCACGAUUUUGGCUGAUGCAACCUCUGCCUCCGGGGUUCAAGUGAUUCUCCUGCCUCAGCUUCCUGAGUAGCUGGGAAUACAGGCACUUGCCAUCAUGCCCAGCCAAUUUUUGUAUUUUUCUAGAGAUGGGGUUUUCCCAUGUUGACUAGACUGGUCUUGAACUCCUGGGCUCAAGUGAUCCUCCUGCCUCAGCCUUCCAAAAUGCUGGGAUUACAGGCAUGAGCCACCUUGCCCGGCCUAUAGGAAUGUUUCAAACGAUGCAUUUGAGAGUACAUUCAUAAUGGUUGAAGAAUUAUAGAUUUUAGGGAAAAAAGUUUCAUUUUAUCUAGAAGUUCAUCUUAUGGGUCAAGUUAUUAUGUUUUUUAUAUGGUCUUAGGUUUGGGUACACAAUGACCUUGGCAAUAAUUGAUUUUUCUAUGAGCCUGACAUUAAUGUUUCUAAGCAAGUCCCUUUUGUCAGCUCCACUGGUGCUUACCGUAGAGGGUUGAUGGGUGCAUUAAAUAAAAUAAUAUCUGUAAAGCUCUUGGCUGACUACAUUGCAUACAGUACACAUCAAAGACAUAGUUCUUAGGAUUAUUAUAAACAAAAAUGUAAAAAGAAUGUGCAUGAAUUAAUGGUAGUCAUAACUCAUUGGAUACAAAAUAUCUUCCAUAUGGAUACAGUAAAAUACUACAUAAAUAUUACUAUAAAAGUGCUAUAAAAAUAUGAAGCUCUCACCACUCCCCAGAACUCAUGUAAUUAUUUUAACCCGAGGCCAGCUCUCAGGUGACCCACCUUCCUGUUUUGGCAAAGAAGUGCCAUGCUCUGGUUACAUCUGAGAGCUGUGUAUUCUUAAACAAAAAUAUCCAGUUCCCCACUUUUCCAGAGAUCGCACUGAGAGGGCUUUAUGUGGGAGUCCCUUGUUUAUUAAGAACUGUUUCUAUGUCACGGGAGGCCAGGAAAUGAAUUUUAAAUCUGUCUUAACCACAGAAUGACACACGGGACAAAUGACAAGAGCAAACUGGGGAGCUCUGCUCUCUCUCACAGUGCCUGGGCUGAUGAGUUCAACACAUCUGUUUGCACUUGAAAAGUCAGAUGUACUAAUUAUUGUUACAAACACAAAUAAAAGUGAUCAAUGUACAUCUUCCUGAAAUUAAACCCUUUAUGAAGCAACAUUGUCACUUUUGGAAUGCCUUCUUGGUUCAGUCAAGCAUGGGCAUCUCAAAUGUUGCAUGUGGAUAAUUAUGAAACAUUUUCUGAGCACUUAUGCCAAGGACAAUGAGCAAUAUGAUCAGGGAUGUGCAGUUUUCACCCUGUAGCACUCUUCCUUUACUGCAGGCAUCAUACACAGCUCCAGCAUCUUGUUUGGACUUGUUUGUGAGCACCAAGGAGACACCUCUGGGGACUUACAGAUCUACUUGGACAGCACUUGACCAUGGACCUGCCCCCCAGCAGAUGGGGCAAGAGCCAGUGAAAUUUGGGUAUUUGACUGCAACCCUGUUUGUUCCCACAUGUAGAGGAGAUCUGGUGCAACUCCAGUUACUUGGAGCAGUAUAACAGCACAGCCACUGCUGUCGUAUCAACAUUUUUCGCUAGUCCUCUCUCAUGUGGGGCUUGUCUAUGGGGCAUGUUGGCAUUGGGAAGUCCUCAUUUCCUGAUUUACUGUCUCAUGAUGAGAUACCAAUCAAAGCUAAGAUACAAAGAACUCUUUGAAAAAUAGCCUUUUCAACUUGUCCACACACAAUCAGAAACAUACUGAUUUUGGAUUAACUCAUUAUUAAUGAUUUUGUCUAUUUUGAAAGAGGCUGCCCUGAACAAGGAGUCAGGAAUUGUAGGUCUUAGCUCCACUUUUGCUAUUAAGUUAUGCUGCAAACCUUAGAAUCUUCGCUGAGCAGUUCUCUGGGCCUCUCUUAAUCUGUAGACGAAGAAACAGAGGCAGAUGAAACACAUCUCAUCUAAUUUUGCAGACACGCUCAACCCUCUACACUACAAUAAAGGGUUAAAAAAGGACAUAAACCUAUAAAGAGGGGAGAAGAUUGGAAGAAGCUAAGAGAGACAAAAUUUAGGAGUCUGAAAGGCAUAUGAACAGGUAGUAAUCAAUUUAGCAAACUUGAGAGGAAAAUCCUGAGCUACCACUGGGAAAAGCAAAGAAAUAUAUAGCCAGGCAAAAACCUCUCCCCAUUCCAACAGAAGACUGGAGGAUUUUAUUUUUUUUCUCCCUGCGGAAAACACAGAACAGGAUGUGUGGACCCAGGGACACCAGAAGCAAUUGAGGUAAAAGAAAGAGAGGAAGUAAAUAUGUAUAUACUAGAUGCUAAGACACCUGUUCCUGCCAGAUGUCCCAGAAGGCUGACAGCCAGGCCUUUCUCCUCCAAGCAAGAAACUGGAAGCAUCUCCUAUAGGGAGUCUGACCAGCUCAAUAGCUUGCUGGUCAACAAGCUCUGCUCAAGUGCUUAAGUUUCCAGUCAGGGAUUUUUUUUUUUUUUUUUUUUUUUUUAAGACAGAGUCUUGCUCUGUUGCCCAGGCUGGAGUACAAUGGUGCAAUAACAGCUCACUGCAGCCUCAACCACCCAGGCUCAAGCCAUCUGAGCCUCUGAGUAGCUGGGACUACAGGUGUGUCACUGCACUUGGCUAAUUUUAAUUUUUUUUGUAGGGAUGGGGUCUCACUAGUAUUGCCCAGGCUGGUCUCGAACUCCUGGGCUCCAACAGUCCUCCUACCUCGGCCUCCAAAUAUGCUGGGAUUAUAGGUGUGAACCACCACACCUGGCCUCUAAUCAGUUUUCUAGUCUCCCACUCAAGCCUUAGUUGAGCAGACAAAUGAAGAUUUCCAAAAAUCUGAGGAAAACCUCCAGUAUAGAACAUGUAGACUACAAAGAGAAAAAGGCAGCCUGGAUGAAAACCGAGACUAAAAAGGGAGAAGAAACAAAAUUCAGGGCAAAACAAAAAACAUAAUCCUAAUAUCUUCAGGAAAAAAGAGAAAUUACAAUCAUGAAAAAAGGAAAGAUUGCUAAAAAAUAAAAUCUCAGCGAACAAAAAAAGAAUUCUUAUAAAACAUGGUAAUGGAAAUUAAAAACUCAGUGGAAGGAUUAGGAGAUGAAGUUGAGGAAAUCUCUCAGAAACUAGGACAGAAACAUAAAUAGAUGGGACUGAAGACAGAAAAGUAGAGAAAAUUGGAAGACAAAUCCAGGAUAUUCUGUAUGCAUAAAAGGAAUUA
RNAcentral lists this long non-coding RNA (4155 nucleotides) under Homo sapiens (human). RNAcentral's name for it is "HSALNT0352626". The record is from RNAcentral. Lineage: Eukaryota; Metazoa; Chordata; Mammalia; Primates; Hominidae.